Cryptomeria japonica (Japanese cedar) is the source of this 520-nucleotide long non-coding RNA. RefSeq lists it as uncharacterized. The transcript is spliced from 2 exons. The record is from RefSeq and is a predicted model, not a curated record. Lineage: Eukaryota; Viridiplantae; Streptophyta; Pinopsida; Cupressales; Cupressaceae.
CAAUCAUUCAGGGAUCCAUGGAUCCUCACACGUAGAAGAAGAAACCGAGGAUCAUUUUCUUGAGUAAUCACGGAAACAAUGAUGAUAAGGACCAUGUUUAUUCGGUAAAUAGAUUGACGCGGAUUGAAUCAAGAGUGGUACUUAAUACCGUCAUGUUUGAAAGACAUCCUACAAUUCAUAUUUUGCAGACAAUGGCAGUAUCUGGGAAUGAUUUUUUUUCACAUUUGGAAUGAGAUGCAGUUGCAAUGAAGAUUUGAAAAUUUGCAUAGUACCAGUACUUAGAUUUUUUAUGGGAUGCAAGUGAUAGGGGAUCAAAACAUGGAUCCUUCUGCCAUGUUUCAUGGAUGCCAGGAGCCUUUCCAUAGUCUUUAGUGCAAUACGACUUUCUUCAAGGAAAGUACCUGACAGUGAUGAAUUGAAACGCUUUAUUUUGUCAAGGGAUCAAACAUGCAACCUUCUACCAGGAUUCAUGGAAUGUUGGUAGCCUUUCAAUUCAAGUUUAUUCAAGUUAAAACGUUCA